CGCCCGUAAUCGCGCUGGGGGUCUUCCUCCUCGUCGUCUCCAUCGCGGGGCUCGUCGGCGCCUGCUGCCGCGUCACCUGGCUGCUCUGGGUCUACCUCCUCGCUAUGUUCGUCCUCAUCGUCGCCCUCUUCUGCUUCACCGUCUUCGCCUUCGUCGUCACCAACCGGGGCGCCGGGGAGGCCGUGUCGGGCCGGGGGUACAAGGAGUACAGGCUUGGGGACUACUCCAACUGGCUGCAGAAGCGGGUGGAGAACCACAAGAACUGGAACAGGAUCAGGAGCUGCCUCCAGGGCUCCAAGGUCUGCAAGAACCUGCAGGACAAGAAGGAGUCGGUCACCGACUUCAUGCGUUCCGACCUCUCCCCGAUCGAGGUACUUGCUUAAUUACGUGAAAAAUGCAUUUUUCUUCCCUUAAUCUUCAGUCUCAGUUUUUUUUUGACAAAUCACCAAGACAGAUUCUAAAACAAACUCUAUCUAUCUGUAGCCGGCGUUUUGUCUUACAGAAAAAGAACACUUCUUUUUCAUUCACGUGUCAUUCAUACUUUAGUGGUCGCGAAUUGCGAUGUGACUUUGGGAGGAUAGUAGUAAUGCCAAAAGACUUUGAAGAAACGGUAGCUUGUGAAACGCAAAACCUUAUCUUAGGCCCGGCUGAUGGUUACUUGUACGGUUGUGCAUCUCGAUCAGACGUACACAAUUUGGAAUUCUGUCUAAAAAUGCAUUGGGCUUAGCGUUGAUAUUGUCAACGGAUUACUCCUAUUUUAUAGUGACAUAUCUUCGGUCCAUAUCAACCUUUACUACCUGCUCUGAAGUCUGAACUGCUCCCGAUGCUCUGACCGCUGCAUUAUUGAAGGAAGAAUUUUCGUUCAUCGCACAUGCUUUCAUUUCAACGCUCUGGUGCACUUGCACUCAACUUUUAGGUCGCGUAACCCAAUCGUUUCACGAAACGGCUCCACCUGAAACUAUCAUAAACAACUGAAACUGUUUUAUUUACUUGUAGUAUUUACCUAAACAACGUCAUGUGAUGUUGAAAGUUCCCAGUCAUGAGUAUUGAGUAGUAGCCCUGCAUAUGUGCUGCUCUGUUUCAAAGGCUCAUCGCUGUUCUUGUUGCUCGUGCAGUCUGGGUGCUGCAAGCCCCCCACCAGCUGCGGCUUCACCUACGUCAGCGGCACGGACUGGACCAAGACCACCGCCACCAACUCGUCGUCGGACCCGGACUGCAACACCUGGAGCAACGAUGCGCUCUGCUACGACUGCCAGUCGUGCAAGGCCGGCGUGGUGGCCACCGUCAAGCGGGACUGGAAGCGCACCGCCAUCGUCUGCAUCGUCUUCCUCGUCUUCAUCAUCAUCGUCUACUCCAUCGGAUGCUGCGCUUUCAGGAAUAACCGCAGGGACAACGCCUACCACGGCGGCUGGAAGGGCGGGUACGCCUGAUCUGGUCGAUCCACCGUCGUUUCGGAGCCUAGCAGACGAGAUCCGCUGCUCGAUUGGUCGAGCGUGCCAGCUCAGUGCUCUGCUCUCGCUGUCCUGCGGUCGCUUUCGUCCUAUAUGUUUAGGCUUCAUCUAGCUCUGUACAGUCGAGAUUGUUACAGCUUCUUAUCGUCUGCUAGUCACUUUGUUAUGAUCUGAUCACUGGUCAGCAGUAGGUUUUGUACAUGCUGUUCGUUGAUUUUGAUAUACUGCUCUAUAUUCG
RNAcentral lists this long non-coding RNA (1689 nucleotides) under Setaria italica (foxtail millet). RNAcentral describes it as "long non-coding RNA (SITA_LNC001382)". Lineage: Eukaryota; Viridiplantae; Streptophyta; Magnoliopsida; Poales; Poaceae. The record is from RNAcentral.